This is a non-coding RNA of Tauraco erythrolophus (red-crested turaco), 84 nucleotides long. NCBI's taxonomy places the organism in Eukaryota, Metazoa, Chordata, Aves, Musophagiformes, Musophagidae. The record is from Rfam.
GCAGAUACAGCUUGGAGUGAUUAUGGUGAUGGACUGGAAAUCCACUGGGUGUUGCUUAUGCAGGUACAAGUCCUGCUGGCUGUG